CAAGUGGGGAAUAGCUCGACGAAAGGCGAAAAUACCGCAACAGGUUGGUUCUCUCUGAGAGCCCAUACCAAAGACAGGGACCGCAAGGUGUCGCUAGAAGAGGAGUUCGCGGCCUAUCAGCUAGUUGGCGAGGUAACGGCUCACCAGCUAAGACGGGUAGCUGGUCUGAGAGGAUGAUCAGCCACACUGGAACUGAGACACGGUAGACACCUACGGGUGGCAGCAGUUUCGAAUCAUUCACAAUGGGCGAAAGCCUGAUGGUGACGCCGCGUGAGGGAUGAAGGCCUUCGGGUCGUAAACCUCUGUCACCGGGGAAGAAACUUCAGGUUAAUAGCCUGAAGCCUGACUUAACCCGGAGAGGAAGCAGUGGCUAACUCUGCCAGCAGCCGCGGUAAUACAGAGACUGCAAGCGUUAUUCGGAUUCACUGGGCGUAAAGUGCGCAGGUGGCCAAGUGUGUGAGGCGUGAAAGCCCGAUGCUCAACAUCGGAAUUGCCUCAAACUACAUGGCUAGAGCAUUGGAGAGGGGAGCAGAAUUCACGGUGUAGCAGUGAUGCGUAGAUAUCGUGAGGAAUACCAGAGGCGAAGGCGGCUCCCUGGACAAUAGCUGACUCAGGCACGAAAGCGUGGGGAGCAAAAGGGAUUAGAUACCCCUGUAGUCCACGCCCUACGGUGCACACUAGGUCUUGGCGGAUUCGACCCCCCCAGGGCCCAAGCUAACGCGUUAA
Molecule: ribosomal RNA, 726 nt
Filed under: uncultured bacterium
Lineage: Bacteria
Description: bacterial SSU rRNA
Rfam family: Bacterial small subunit ribosomal RNA
Source: RNAcentral